Molecule: ribosomal RNA, 497 nt
Filed under: uncultured bacterium
Lineage: Bacteria
Description: partial 16S ribosomal RNA
Rfam family: Bacterial small subunit ribosomal RNA
Source: RNAcentral
GAUGAACGCUGGCGGCGUGCCUAAUACAUGCAAGUCGAGCGAACGGACGAGAAGCUUGCUUCUCUGAUGUUAGCGGCGGACGGGUGAGUAACACGUGGAUAACCUACCUAUAAGACUGGGAUAACUUCGGGAAACCGGAGCUAAUACCGGAUAAUAUUUUGAACCGCAUGGUUCAAAAGUGAAAGACGGUCUUGCUGUCACUAUUGGAGGAAUUCGCGCUGCAUUAGCUAGUUGGUAAGGUAACGGCUUACCAAGGCAACGAUGCAUAGCCGACCUGAGAGGGUGAUCGGCCACACUGGAACUGAGACACGGUCCAGACUCCUACGGGAGGCAGCAGUAGGGAAUCUUCCGCAAUGGGCGAAAGCCUGACGGAGCAACGCCGCGUGAGUGAUGAAGGUCUUCGGAUCGUAAAACUCUGUUAUUAGGGAAGAACAUAUGUGUAAGUAACUGUGCACAUCUUGACGGUACCUAAUCAGAAAGCCACGGCUAACUACGUG